CUACGGGUUGCUCCAGUGGGGAAUAUUGCACAAUGGGCGCAAGCCUGAUGCAGCCAUGCCGCGUGUAUGAAGAAGGCCUUCGGGUUGUAAAGUACUUUCAGCGGGGAGGAAGGGAGUAAAGUUAAUACCUUUGCUCAUUGACGUUACCCGCAGAAGAAGCACCGGCUAACUCCGUGCCAGCAGCCGCGGUAAUACGGAGGGUGCAAGCGUUAAUCGGAAUUACUGGGCGUAAAGCGCACGCAGGCGGUUUGUUAAGUCAGAUGUGAAGUCCCCGGGCUCAACCUGGGAACUGCAUCUGAUACUGGCAAGCUUGAGUCUCGUAGAGGGGGGUAGAAUGCCAGGUGUAGCGGUGAAAUGCGUAGAGAUCUGGAGGAAUACCGGUGGCGAAGGCGGCCCCCUGGACGAAGACUGACGCUCAGGUGCGAAAGCGUGGGGAGCAAACAGGAUUAGAUACCCCUGUAGUC
RNAcentral lists this ribosomal RNA (464 nucleotides) under uncultured bacterium. RNAcentral's name for it is "partial 16S ribosomal RNA". It matches the Rfam family "Bacterial small subunit ribosomal RNA", at positions 339 to 795 of the family's 1533-position model. The record is from RNAcentral.